RNAcentral lists this ribosomal RNA (466 nucleotides) under marine bacterium 13691. RNAcentral describes it as "bacterial SSU rRNA". It matches the Rfam family "Bacterial small subunit ribosomal RNA", at positions 34 to 482 of the family's 1533-position model. The record is from RNAcentral. Lineage: Bacteria; Bacillati; Bacillota; Bacilli; Caryophanales; Staphylococcaceae.
CGCUGGCGGCGUGCCUAAUACAUGCAAGUCGAGCGAACAGAUAAGGAGCUUGCUCCUUUGACGUUAGCGGCGGACGGGUGAGUAACACGUGGAUAACCUACCUAUAAGACUGGGAUAACUUCGGGAAACCGGAGCUAAUACCGGAUAACAUAUUGAACCGCAUGGUUCAAUAGUGAAAGGCGGCUUUGCUGUCACUUAUAGAUGGAUCCGCGCCGUAUUAGCUAGUUGGUAAGGUAACGGCUUACCAAGGCAACGAUACGUAGCCGACCUGAGAGGGUGAUCGGCCACACUGGAACUGAGACACGGUCCAGACUCCUACGGGAGGCAGCAGUAGGGAAUCUUCCGCAAUGGGCGAAAGCCUGACGGAGCAACGCCGCGUGAGUGAUGAAGGUCUUCGGAUCGUAAAACUCUGUUAUCAGGGAAGAACAAAUGUGUAAGUAACUGUGCACAUCUUGACGGUACCUGU